Diachasmimorpha longicaudata is the source of this 3039-nucleotide long non-coding RNA. RefSeq lists it as uncharacterized. The transcript is spliced from 3 exons. The record is from RefSeq and is a predicted model, not a curated record. NCBI's taxonomy places the organism in Eukaryota, Metazoa, Arthropoda, Insecta, Hymenoptera, Braconidae.
AUCAAAGGUACCAACACACCACUACAUCAUUACGAAAAAAAUAACUUAGAAAGCCGAAGGGUGCAUUGAAAUUUUGUUGAUUCAGUACCAUUUUGGGGAUAAUUCAUGGUUAAGCAAUUCGCAUGAAUUUUUAUUGCGCACUAAUAUUUUAGUGAUUUUUUCAAUAAAUAAAAAAUAUAACGAAAUGAUAUCCUGUGGCAAUGGCCGCUGCACAAUAAUUCUAGACAGAUUAUGUAUCACAAGAUCACAAGCAAGAAUAGAAUGUGUCCGCCAUAUCUAUUGAGAGUGCAUGGAAUGUGUGGAGAAAAAUUAAUUGUCUGUCUAUAGCUGUAUGGAACAGUAAAAAAUUACUGUGUGGGGGCUAUUAAAUUUCGUUCCACUUGGCCACUGAAUAAUCCAUUGUAACCAUUUUCAGUGCCUCACAAGGGAUUUCAAUAAAAAAAACAAGUUUCGUGAUUUUACUGAAAAUUUCCUGUACGAUAUGCUGAUCUAAUCUGAAAAUGUUAUGCUGAUCUCUGUUUCACGAUUUUUUACAAAAAUUAAAAAACAAAAAAGGGUGUUUUACAACUUCGUCGCGUUCCAAGACAAAUUUUUAGAGAAUUUAAAAAUCAUAAAUUUGGAAUCUAUUACGUGCAAAAUAUUUAACGAGCCUGAAGGGCGAGUUUAUUUCAUUUAGAAGAGAUGAGAAUAGAACAACAUGGGAAAUUUUCAGAGUUCGUCAAUGACGAGGUAUAACGGGAUAUUGAUAAAACGUUAGCACUGAAAAUAAUUGAAACAAUAUUUGAUAAGAUAAAUAACACGCGCGGUCAGGUGGGCGAGUUUGAAUGGUGCGCUCUGGCAGUGGCCCCUACGUCGCACGCCAGCAACCCAGGUGCCAAUGGACGGUGGGACUGCGUUGCCGUCAGGUCCCUCUUAUCGAACAAAAAAUCCGGAGUAUUCACUAUAUUUUAUUGGAGUAUUUAGGUGUAUUCGUAUAAUUAUUUUCAGUACGAAUAACUAUUACAGAAUUAAAUCGAGGUAGAAAACUUGAGAGUUUCCACUCACUUCACAUAAACAUAAACAUAAACAAUGAUUCCAUAGAAACGAAGAACAGAGAGUUCUAUGAUUGGGUGAGGAAUGUUGGUUUGCUCUUAGUGACCAGUCUUUAGUCUCCUAGAGACAUCCGGGGAGUACUGACGUUCCUUCCUGGUGCCGAUUAUAAAAUAAAGAAAUUAUAGUAGUAAAUCUACUCGAAGAGAAAUAUUCAGUAGUUAUUCCCCAAGACCUUCAAAAUUAUCGGAUAUUUCCAGAGAGUUUCGUUACGUAGCAACGAGAGGGAUAAGUUUUGCAGUUUAAAAAUCCCGAGCGCAAAGCGCGAGGAUUUUUCUGCGAAACUUAUCCCGAUCGGUGUCAAUUAUCCCGAUCGGUCAAUUAUUACACCUAAUCCACGUCCUGUGGGGUUAUAAAACUACAACGAUAUAUUUCUAAAAUAUAGUCGAUUCUACUAGGGAAGUAUUUGGAUUUUUAUUCCCUCAUCAAUUAUUUUUUAAUAAUUGCAGAAAAAGUUGUGCGAUAACAGUAAGAUCAGUAAGAUCUACGUGGCUCAUAAUUUUGGGACUUCACAAGCACAAUUAUUAUCACUGCAAGAAUAUAUUCUCAAAACUUCCACAAUUCAUCUGAUUUCCCUCCCUUCCCGUAAGACUCCUGCCGAAGUUCCUGAAUAAAAAACCGAAAUCCAACUGUCAGAAGAAAACGGUACGUUAUUUGGAUGGCAUCCAAAAGUGUCGCAGCAAUGCGUAAAAAUUCUCUUCUCCCCUAAAAAUGGUAUAAGACUAUCAGCCAAGUGGAUUGAAGCCAAGUUAAACCUCUUCUUUCUCAAAGGCAUUUGCUGCCAAAAGUGAUUUUAUAAAAUAUUAUCCUCCCCUCUCCACCGAAAUUAACUAUCGUUUUACCUCUUGCGGCAGACAAUGCGGUACAGUAUUAUGGUGAUAGUAUCGAUUUCGUCAAAAAGCGAAUAGUCAUGUUGAAAGAUACCAGGAGACUUGUCGGUUUUGUGGUGGCGGUGGUUAAAACUGGUUCGCCCACCCAUGUUUACUGUACUUGAGGAUGGGUUAACAUACCUGUCUGUGUGAUAUGGGAAUGAUAUAAAAAUGUCCUUUGCCAGCGAGACGACGUUGAGUACCAACUUGGUGAGUUUUUCAUAGCUUUUUCCAGAAAGAGAAUCGAUAGCCACCGGUUGGUGCGGCCGUCAACAUCAAGCUCAUGGAGGACGAUGAACCGCUUGGUUCAUCGGUUACAUCGUCCCACAGCACCAGAGGCCUAUGGCUUCCUUAUUUGGUUGAAUACAAGUAUUGAAAAAUGUAGAAACCACAACGUUAAAUUGUUCUUUCGGUCUACCACUGAUGUAUUAUGAGGAGUACGUACGUAUUAAUGUGCUAGUAUGAAGUUUCAGACUGGAGAAACGUCUGAAAGCGUCUGUAUUAAACACAUAAGAAAAAUGGAAAGGGUCUGGUGAAGGGUGAGCAAUAGUCGACUUCCAAUACGUAUAUGGAGACGAGAAAACAUCUUCGAGUUGCUUUUACGGCGGUGGAGUAUCGUAUUCCCUCCUCUCAUAACUGUUUAUUUUGGAAUGUCGAUGUCUCUUAAGUAUUUCAAAUUACAUUCAGUAUCAGCAUUGCAGAGUUAUUGAUUUUAUUUUGAGGUACCCCAUUGUCAUUAACUCAGGGAACUUCAGUGGAAGAUGUACUAGCGAUGUUUGGUUUCACUGAACUUCUUGUAGGAAUAUAAAGCUCGUUAUUGAUGGAGGACGAGGUUCCGUUUUAGAGCCUUAAUUGUAGAUUUUAGAAUCACUUGUUCAAUUUUUUAAUUGAUUAAUCUGUUCUAAAAUCAAAGCUAAUCGAAAGUUCCUUUUUACGGAUUUCCUCGCGUUGUGGAAUAGAAGGAAAUGAGGUGGCAGACAAACUGGCAGGAGAAGGGACAGAUAAUCUCUCAAAUGAGUUCAACUGAGAUUCUCAAUGAAAUUUUCUAAAUGUUCUAAAUUCGAAGAUUUAAAAAAAUGGA